AGGGCCGCACCUGCAGCAUACGGACAUUCCCAGACUAGGGGUCAAAUCAGAGCUGCAGCUGCCAGUCUACCCCACAGCCACAGCAAAAGGGGAUCUGAGCCACAUCUUCCACCUACACUGAAGCUGAUGGCUCACCAACCCACUGAGCGAAGCCAGGGAUUGAACCUGCAUCCUCAUGGAUACUAGUUGGAUUCGUUUCCACUGAGCCACAACGGGAACUCCCUCAUCCACCUAUAUUUAAAGUUCACAUUCCUCUUUUUUUUUUUUUACCGAGGCCCUGUCUUUCUACGAAAUUUUCAAUAUAAUCCAAUAGUUUCAAAAAACCCUUAAAUCGAGACGUGAGGUCUUUCUAAAAGAGAGACGAUAGGGUCUUUGUGAUGGAACUCCAAGCAGGACCCUGCAACAUGAGUAUAUCAUAGGGUUGCUUAAUUACCUCUCAUCAGUGUAGGCUGACAUGUUUACUGUCCUUGAGGCCAACAGGACAUUUUGCCCAAGGAUGCACUAGGGGAGAUUCGUGGAAAAGACACACACACAAGCGCCCCUCACAACAAAGGGCAGGCUUGUUCUACUGCCUUCAUCACAGAGCCAUGGGAGGAUGAAAUGUUAAUGAAGUCUCCUGGGUGUGGAGCCAGCCUUUGGUCUAAGAGCAUUUAAGGAGCCUGAAUCUUGGUGACCCAAGAAGACAUAAAAGGCUCAAUUCUAGGAAAUUUUCCAAGAAGCCUGUCUCUGUGUUCUAGAUUCAUCCUUGAUUCCUACUCCUGUAAGUAAAGACAGUGUGACCAAAAGUUUCUCCUAAACCUUCUCCUAAAACAUCACAUCCUCUGCCUGAAGUGACCCUCUCUGCUAUCCCACUAGCCUUCAUUCCCAUUGUUCAAGGUUUGAAUCAAAUGCCACCUUCUCAGGCAGACCUUCCUCAAGCUUCACUUAAAAGGUAUUUGAUUUUUUUUUCUAGGUACCCAAAGUACAAUGCUCCUCUCCUAAAGCGUUGUCCCCUGUGUUGGGGGUUAAGGUUAGGGUUAAGGUUAGGGUUAUACUAACUAUAACUGCAGACACAUUAUAACUGUGGACACACUAAAUGGCUGUAAGGGAGUUCCCGUACUGGCUCAGUGGAAUCUGACUAGCAUCCAUGAGGACACAGGUUCAAUCCCUGGCUUCACUCAGAAUCUGGCAUUGCCAUGAGCUGUGGUGUAGGUUGCAGACACAGCUUGGAUCUGGCGUUGCUGUUGCUGUGGCUGUGGUGUAGGCCAGCAGCUGUAACUCCGAUUCGAACCCUAGCCUAAGAACCUCCAUAUGCCAUGGGCAUGGGCCCUAAAAAGAUGAGAAAAAAAAUGGCCAUAAGCUCCUUGAGAACAGGUUUGUGUUUUUUCCCUCCUAAUCCUGUUCCGCCCCGCAGACAGGAGCGCCCCAUAGUCCACACAGCUUUCUCGACACUGCCUCUCAUACACACACCUUCCUUGCUGUUUCCACUCAUUCCCCUCCUUUUUAACUCACUGAAAUCUGGCUUCUCCCUUACCUGUAACUGCUUCAUUAUAACUGCUCUUGCUCCAAAAACUGCACCUCCUAAAUGCAUCUUACAUUGUUUUGCAAGUUUGGUUCCUGAUCCUUCUUCUCACCUAGGCUAUGGGCCCUCAAAGGCACAGUCCCCUUCGGUCUCCAUUUUAAGAGUUACCAUCUUUUACUCUUCUCUCCUUAACAAUCGGGGGCACAUGGCCAAAGAGAAGAGGAAUGUCCAGAACCCCGGGACCCUGUUUCUCUGGAUCCUCUUUGCUGUUACUUGGUUCACUGGAGUGAGAAACCAAAUUCAGCUGAAUUCAUUACAGGCUCCCUUGCUGUUGAUUUUGGAGUAGCUUGACAAGAAAAAUGCAGUCUUCUGCGGAAUGUGCUUUAAGAAAUCCUCCCAAUUAUUAGGCUGGAAUCUCCUUUAUCCUUGCUUCAUGCUGAAUUGGAGGCCAGAGAGGAAGAACCCAGAAAAUCAUCUCCUCCCAGUGCCUUCAGUGUAUUUAUUCACACCUACUGAGCUCUACAUCCAAAUCUUUAAGGGCCCACCUACAAACUCACCCUAGGCAUGGUUCCUCCCCAUGAUCUUGCCAUGUUUCUCAGCCCUGACAGUGGCCAAAGCUGUGAAUCUGCCCACGUCCCCUACCUGAGAAUUCCUAGAACUCCAUCUGCGUUUUCUGUUUUACUCCUGUCACCAAGGGGGAGCAAGCAUGAGGGUCUCCCUUUUACACACAUGCAACCUGGAAGUGACCAGGCAGAAGCAAGACAAGGACAGUCCUCAAGGGAAGCAGAGGAAGUGAAGAACCAGCAGGUCACCAACAAAGCCUGAGUUUUGUGUCCUACCUUACGGUUGUCUCAGGCCAUCCUGCUGAGUCCUGGCGUGCAUACAAUGAAGAGGUCAGCAGCAUGUGCUGGGCCUUUCCUGAUCCUGGGCAGUGGCUCCACAUGGCUUCACUAUCCAGGAGUGCUGCACCUGCUGUGAUUAAUGAUGAGGGUUGAGACGGGACAAAGAAUCCAGUGGAGGCCUGGGAAGAUACCACCUCGGCCUUACGCUGAGGUAGAACCUGCCCUUUUUGGGUUUUAUCAAAGAAGUAUUGAAUACAUUCUCCCUGGCUUUCAAAGAUUCCCCAGUGCAUUUUUCUAAUACAGCAGCUAUUUCCAUUAUACUGUAUUCUUGAUUCAUCAUUUUCAAAGGCAGCCUUGUAGGUUUAAGGGCUGAGAAGAAAGACAUAGGGCUGGGGGAUGGUGAGGAAGAUUACUUCAGAUGAGUGGCACUGCUAUAACUCUUGAAGUAAAAUUAUCUUUGUGAACUAAAUGGUACCUGCAUUUUUUUAAAUGGCCAUGCCCAUGGCAUAUGGAAGUUCUGGACCCAGUACUGAAUCUGAGUCCCAGCUGUGGCAAUGCUGGGCCCUUUAGCCCACUGUGCCAUGCUGGGGAUUGAACCUGCACCUCCGUAGCAACCCCAGCCACUGCAAUUGGAUUCUUAACCCACUGCACCACAGUGGGAAUUCCAGUACCUGAAUUUUAUUUCGGGUGAAAAGCUAGGCAAUUGACUGCGAUUUUAAACCAUCAGUUUUCUAUCCUUCGAAUGUUCUGAAACAGGGCUGUUGUUGCUGUAAUAUCCCAGGGAACACACGCAAACUGAUGUCAUUGCUUUGUCUGAAUAAUUAAGGGCUGACUGAAUAAUUGGUCUGCAAGUAUAAAGCAUUCUGUUGGGGUUACCUACCAUUCUUUACCACUAAUAGUACACAAAAUUAAAAUAGACUUAAAGUGUGCAGGAAGCAUGUAGGUUAGAUAAUAAAAGAGCAAAAAUCCUAAAAUAUCUAAUGCUUAGUGGAUUUUCAAAGAUUUUUGGGGGGGGAAGUAGGAAAAAAUCUGAGGGAAAAAUAAAUAGAUUGGAAACUCCCUUGUGGUUGUUCACUGGAAGCGUAGAGGCUGUACCACAGGGUAGAGGCUAUACUACAGGGCACAAGCUCUCAGACUGUGGUCUUGGGAAGUGUCCUGUUAUUUGCUUCUUUUAAGAUGCUGCUCUGCUCUGCCCGUGGCUACAGAGCCUGAUGUAGGUUUCUGAUUGGCUCAGAAGGCUCACAAUCUAAUUUCCUGGUCUGCACCCUGAAGACACCAGUAGAAAUUAAGCCAUGAUGGAUGAUUCCACUAUGUAUCCCCUUUCCAAGAGAAGAUGAUGCUGGUUGGGGCCCUGAUGUGUUGAAAACACACACCUUUCUUCUUUGUAUUCUUUUCCUUCAGAGGACCCGACUCAUGCUCUGGGAAGGAGUGAGUGUCACCACCUUACCACUAUGGGGGGGGGGGCCUAGGGAGAAGCAGAACAGUUGGGGGGCUGUCACCCCCCUACAUGCAUCACACUCUUCAUUGAGGGGGUCCUGGGGGGUGCUCUACUCUGAGAUGGGGCAACGGUCUAUGAACACAUCUUGUAAGGUUCUAGAAGUAUGAACCAAGCUGGCAGGUGUUGGCACAACUCCCAGCAAGAAGGCCAAUGUGGAUAUUUGCUCAUGCCCUGCUGCCAACCACCAACCUCUGCCCCCUUGGAAAGGACUGGUCUCUCCACCCUCAAACCCUUGUGGCCUCUACCCAUGCCUGGGUAUCUGCUAACUGGCAGUGAGUGAUGGCAACACCAGCCAGGCAUGUAUAGAGUCUGUGUUGAGCUGGUAGCUAAUUUCACAACCUCCAUAUGCACAUGAAAGUGGCAGCUACCUUCUGAGCAGCCAAAUCUUCUGUGCCAUGGAAUUCCCAUUACGGGCCAGCGGGUUAUGAACCUGACUAGUACCCACGAGGAUGCAGGCUGGACCCCUGACCCUGCUCAGUGGGUUAAGGAUCUGUUGUUGCCAUGAGCUAUGGUGUAGGUCACAGACGAGGCUCGGAUCUGGCAUUGCUGAAGCUACGGUGUAGACUGGCAGCUACAGCUGUGAUUCGACCUCUAGCCGGGGAACUUCCAUAAGCUGCAGUGCAGCCCUAAAAAAAAAAAAAAAAAAAAGCAAAUUUUCUGUACCUCUAUCUAGGUUGUUCUCAACACUGACUGCAGAGAGGAAUUUCCUAGGGAGCCUGGAAAUAAUACCCAUGCCUGGGCACACCUUUCCUGGCCAAUUAAGUCAGAUUCGCUGGCAAUGGGGCCUCUUAAGAAGCUCAUCAGAUGAUUUUAACGUGCAGUCUGGGUUGAGAAUCACUGAGAACUCCUGAUUGGUGGCCAUAAUCCCAGGAAUAGGCCCCUGCCAAGGUUUGAGCAAGUUUUCACAACAUUAAGGAGCCCUACUCUGCACAGCUUCCAUGCUUGGGCUCCUCCGGCAAUACAUCAGUGCAGCCUGCAUGGCACCUUGGCAUGUUCAUGAGGGAUUCAGAGAUAAAGGCUGGUUCCAUACCGGCAGGGCAGGCUCUGAGCCACAUUCAGGGAGCAUGAUCAGGUAGGUGCAGGGACUCUGCCAUCCCAGAGAGAAGUGAAAAGUUCCCUGCCAAGGUGGAAGCCAGAACAGCUUGUAUUACGAGUGGGGGUCUGGCAGAGGGAACCUGCCAGCGGAAAGGACGGUGUGUGGGGGUGAAGCAGCACCAUUUGUCAGGGGACUAGGAUGGCAGCGCCUGGAGAGCUGGCUUUCUGGGUCCUCUCUGCUCUUUCCCAAGAGCCUUGACCUGAGCUGGACACCAUCCGGUACAUAACAAAUAUUAGUGGACUGAAUGAAUGAAUGAACACAUGCACCUGACCUUCCUGAGCGUGUAUGGGAUGCUGGGAGAUGAAGCUGGAAGACCAGAAGGAUUCCCACUGAGGAAUCCUGCACCACGUUAAUUAGACUUUACCCAGAAGCCAGUCCUUCUCAGCGGGUUCCACAGUGAGGACCCAAACCGAGCAAGGAAAAACAUCCUCUCAGACCCUCCCAUAGUCAAAGUAGUACUUUUAGUGACACUGAUUGGGAAAAUGCAUCUAGACUAAAAAAUUACUGCAAAUUUUGUGAUUUUUUUUUUAAAAGUGAAUUUUAUUUGUGAUCACAGCAGAAACAUACAAGUAAUAUACUUCUCAGCACUGAAGGGUAAGGAAUGUUUUACCUUUAUUUUUCUAAAGCGAAUCAUGACCAUUUGAGCUCCUUCUAACAAAAGUAGAUGAGAAUGUCUUUCUUUUUUUUUUUUCUUUUUUCUUUUUGUCUUUUGUCUUUUUUAGGGCUGCACCUGCAGCAUAUGGAGGUUCCCAGGCUAGAGUUCGAAUUGGACCUGUGGCUGCCGGCCUAUACCA
RNAcentral lists this long non-coding RNA (5731 nucleotides) under Sus scrofa (pig). RNAcentral describes it as "lncRNA (ENSSSCG00025030762.1)". The record is from RNAcentral. Lineage: Eukaryota; Metazoa; Chordata; Mammalia; Artiodactyla; Suidae.